AGAGUUGAUCAUGGCUCAGAACGAACGCUGGCGGCGCGUUUAAGCAUGCAAGUCGAGCGGCAAGGGCCUUCGGGCCCCUAGAGCGGCGGACGGGUGAGUAACACGUGGACAAUCUGCCCCCCGGCCCGGGAUAGCCCAGGGAAACCUGGAUUAAUACCGGAUGAGACGGGACCCGCGAUGGCGGGAUCCGGGAAAGGCGCUGCGGCGCCGCCGGGGGAUGAGUCUGCGUCCCAUUAGCUAGACGGCGGGUAACGGCCCACCGUGGCGACGAUGGGUAGCCGGCCUGAGAGGGUGGACGGCCACAUUGGAACUGAGACACGGUCCAGACUCCUACGGGAGGCAGCAGCUAAGAAUCUUCCGCAAUGGGCGAAAGCCUGACGGAAGCGACGCCGCGUGAACGAAGAAGGCCGUGAGGUUGUAAAGUUCUUUUCGGGAGGGGGAACAACCGUGGCAGGGAAUGGCCGCGGGAUGACGUGAAUCCCGGAAUAAGCCCCGGCUAACUACGUGCCAGCCGCCGC
RNAcentral lists this ribosomal RNA (518 nucleotides) under uncultured bacterium. RNAcentral's name for it is "bacterial SSU rRNA". It matches the Rfam family "Bacterial small subunit ribosomal RNA", at positions 8 to 518 of the family's 1533-position model. The record is from RNAcentral.